AGAUGAGAUGAGCACCAACCCCCACUUGAUGAAAUUUCUUUUUUUUUUAAAGAUUUUAUUUAUUUAUUUGAGAGAGAGAGAGAGAGAAUGAGAGAGAGAGAGCACAUGAGAGGGGGGAGGGUCAGAGGGAGAAGCAGGCUCCUCGCUGAGCAGGGAGCCCGAUGCGGGACUCGAUCCCGGGACUCCAGGAUCAUGACCCGAGCCGAAGGCAGUCGCUUAACCGACUGAGCCACCCAGGCGCCCCCCACUUGAUGAAAUUUCUGCAAAACCCCAGAGGGUGGUGCGGGUGCUGUCUUGUGUCAUCUUGCUCCAAACUCCCUCUCUGCUUCUCUAGUUAAUUUUCGUUCGGCUCAUCUCACUGUGCCCUCUGCCUGGGCCAGAUGUCAACUCAGUAUCUUCAGCACCUCCUCCUCUCUUUGCUUAGCUUUUUCCCAUGUGGGGCCAGGUAAGAGUGUGCCACUGGGAGGAGCCAGUGAGAGGUGCCCAGGGGAGACCUGGAGGUGGAAGAGGCAGCCAGGCCAUUGCUCUCCUUCACUGGUCACGGUCUGGCAGGAGGGCAGAUGGUGCAUACCUGGCUGCGGGAAGCUACCACCAGCUCUGACAGAUCCAGCCCUGGAUUCUGUAGUGUUGCAGGGGCUUCUCAGUCCUCUGCUCCCUAAACAUUUCCGUCUACUUUGCUUCAUCAACACCCUUUCUACUUGGGUUCCUGAGCAAAUCCUGUGCUGUUAAGUGGGACACGACACAAGUGUGAACUCAGCCCCAUCCCCAAGUCCUGUAAAAACCACUCACCACCACUUGGUCUCCCCUGAUUUUGCUCAUAGAAUUUCCAGCCCUUGGCUAUCUCUUGAGCUCCCAGUGCUGUUCACUUUCCUUUUCCAUGAUCAAACCCUCAGGUGUGCUCUGACACUCCAAGAUUUUGUGACAGUCCUAUAAUCCAUGCGCCAACUCGUCUGGAUGGUACCAACCUCAGGCCAUAGUGGCAGUGACCCCCCCCGAGUGGCCUUGGGUUUCUCCCUAACACACUGAGAGGACUCACUGACUAAAGGAAGAAUGCACGGUCUUUAUUGCUAAGUAACUGGAACGAUGUGGGUUGACCGUGUAUUAUGCCAUACUUCUUGGGACUGAGUCACUAGAUGCCUGAGUGAGGAGAGAAACAACAUCGUAGCCUAACUGUUUCUACCUUGGCCUUCUGGGGCUGCAAGGACUAGGUGUCACAGACAGUGAGUACUGUGAUUAUUUGCAACUGGAAAGUUCCAGAGGACUCAAGAAGAAAAUGUUAAGCCCUCAUGGGAUAGACAGGGUGUAUUGCUUCUUGAAAGGAGUCAACCUUUUACAGGACUGGAUAUUCUGUCCAUGCUGGACUGUGAGGUUCCUGGGAACCUUGGAGUUCCAAGCAGUUUUGUGGCAAAUCAGGCAUUUCCAUGGGAAAAAAGUGGUGAAGACCUAGACAGUUUCUGUCUGGUAACUGCAGUUAUUGUCCAGUAAUUAGAUUUCCUAUCUAGAAUAGCUAUACAUAUCUAUAUAUCAAUAUAUCUGUAUAUCCAUCCAUCCAUCCAUCCGUCGAGAGUGCUGUAAAAUCUAUGAGCGUCACUGAGCAAAUCGAGCUGCAGUGGACCAGCCCAGGCCUGUGGAAUUGCCUGUAACACUGGGCACCUACCCCCAGAACCUGUCCCUCAACCCCAUCCCAAGUGUCCUUCCUAGUCUCUGAAGGGUUUUGCAUCUGAAUGUUCCUUACCUUGGUAUCAAGAUCACAAUCCCUACUCUCAUUUGAGGGCAUUUGCAUGGUGUACCCCGAGCCCUCACCUUACUGUUAGCACCUCAAUGAUUUAAGGAUAAUCUCACACAGAGCUGGGUUUUGCUUUGCGAAUCAAUCUGAAAAUCUUUUAGUAGUGAGUUCAGAUUUAUUAAUGCAAAUAAUAUGACUGAUCUCAGUUGAAUCUCAUUUUUUAUAUGAAUCUCUGUUUUUAUUGUGGCGAUAAUUCUGUUUCUAUAUUGUAUUCUACUCUAUUUCUUAUAUUUGCCAUGUAUUUGAUGUUUUCUUUGCUCUCUUAAAAUUUAUCAUAUUCAUUUAUUUGGCAUUCAGGAUGGCUUGUGUUCUUCUGCAUACAAUUAGCACUUAAUAUCCUCAUAGGACUCUUCUAGUCCCUCUUUUUUUUAAUUUAACCUCAGCUUCCACUGCCUUGUUUCUGGCCUAGAUGGCACUCUGGGACCUCCCCACCUGUCCCCUAGCCAUCCAUUCAUGACCUCCUCCCUUCUUCUCUCCCUUCUCCUCUCAUUUUGAAAGUUGGGUUAUUUCUAUGAUGUCAGAGCCUAUCCUGGCAUAGGAUUCCCCUCUCUUGUUCCCACUCUUGUUUCAGCCUUAGAUCCACACAUCAGUGAGCUCUGUGCCUCCCGCCAGUCUCUUCAUUCAGUUCUAGCGGAGUGUCAGGAAAGACUCCAAGGACAACUGUCCCCAAGAUGCUGAUUGCCUAGAAUGGGCUGGCCACAUCCUGUGUCCUCUCUCAUGUGUUUCUCCCCUUCCUGUCUCCUCCUCUUUUCCUCAUCAUCUUCUAGCUGUUUCUUUGGCCUCUUCCUUCAAGUUCCUCCUCCUCAGUGAUCCAGGCCUCUUCCCAGACUUUCCGUCCCCUCUCCCUCUGCCUUCACAGAGGCUCCUGCUCUGAUCUUUCGGCUCCUUUGGUCCCCCCUCCAUGUUACUACUACACCCUUCCAGGUUACUCAGGGGUUAGGACCUUUGCUGGCUGACACCCACUGGAAGGUUGGGGAGCCAUUGUGCUAUUCAGGCUGCCAUGGUCCUGGCUGUCCCUGCACCCUCCUUCCUGCAGGUCUGAGAAAAACUGGAGGCCCAGUGCUGUCCCUCUGUGGCUCCUGGAGCCUGCGAAGGAGGCAGCAACUUGGUGUCGGGGCAGGGAGAGGCAGGGGAUGGGCGGGGGCUACAAGAAAAGAAAGCAAAAUCAGAACAGAAGGCAAACUCCCAAGUGAGGUAGUUCUCAGUGCCUCACCACAGGUACGUGUUGGAAAGCCCAGGCAAAAUCAGCUGCCACCCUCAUUGCUUGUAUAAGUGGCCAGAUCCAAGAGCGGCCCCUGUAGCCACUAUUCAUCUCUGUUUUUAUUGUGGCGAUAAUGCAGUUUUCUUUGGAAUUUGAGAUUCUGGCAUAUAUAGUAGUUGGUGGUCCUCAAAUAAGCCUGUGGAUGAAUUAAACUUUAUCCCAAACUUGGUUUAUCACAGAGCACACUUGACCUUCUUUUUCCUAGGGUCAGAAUAGGCUCCGUCACACCCUGCAGAGAGGCGGGGGUGGCUCAGUUCACAAGAUUAUUCUGGUAUAGCUGUCUCCCCAGGCAAAGGGUUUCUUCUGCGUUUCACCAAAGAUCUCCCCCAACUUCAAGUAAACCCAAAUAUAGCAACCAAAUUUAAACGAAAGAAAACAUUCGAAAGAGUGUGAUGCUGGUCAAGCGUUCGUUUUCUAUAAGUGUGUCAUCUGUUACGUGAUUUUUCACAGUUCUCCAGGUGUUUGUUGCCCUUUUUUCCCCAGCAAUCUGAUUUUUGCAGAGACCAGGAGCCCUAGGAGCUCCUUCUGUCUGUGACAAGACGAGACUGACAUAUCCUUCAGGGACCCAGCUACUAAGCUUGCUUCGUGUGGGAGCAAAUCACAUACCACUUUUGAUGACAUGUUGGAAUUAAUCUCUCCUCCCAAGAGCCACCAGGCUAACAGCCCCCUUUCCAGAAAAGGUGACUUCGGUGUCUUUCAUUUAUUUGCUUAAAAUUUUCAACUCAGAUCAAAACCCUACAGAGGUUUUCAUUACUUAAAUCAGCAUUUCCAGAAGUUUUCGUAAAAAAAAAAUUUGAUAUGCAAAUUGAGGAUCUGGUAUUACAUUCAUGAUUCCACAGUCAAAUUCAUUUGGAGAGUUUUGAUAUAAACACAGGUAAUUACUUUCUUUAUCACGGGAGUUCUCAGAGCCCUUACUAUGCUAGUAUGCAUGGAGGGAUGCUGUACUGCUUCCCCUUCAUGCCCACCAGCCAAGGAGGUGACUACAGGGGCACAGAGGGUGGGGAUGUCCGACCCUGCAGAGCCCGAGAGCACCUGCACUCACCUGGACCACCUGCAUCCCCCGCUCUGUUACCUGGGGACCUAGGGGGCACACUGGCGCGCCCGACUCCAGACCCAGUGAUGUGGGUUCUGGGCCUGGAUCUGAAAGGGAAACAGCAACGUAAGCACCUGGAGGAAGGGCCCAGCCCUACCACUCGGGUGCUCCCUCUGGUCCUUGUCCCCAACAGACCUCCUCACACAACUCCGGGGUGACCCAGGCUCGGUGCCCCAUUGCAUGGAAGAACUCCACCUUCAACUUCAGGAACUCCUUGUAGAGGUCUGGCCAGUGCUCCCUGCCCAGCAGGAACUGGAAGAUGCUCCGUUUGGACGUGGGGUUGUCCUCCUCCAUGUCGGAGGCGAUGUAGCUGCCGUGGGAAAAGAGGGGAAGCUUGCAGAGGUCACACUGGAGGACCUAGUGCCCAGGCCAGUCUAUCCAGGAAGGAGGGUCGGGGAAGCCCUAUCUGCAGGGAGCCUGACUCCAGAGGGAUAGCAGGACCAUCCUCAGGACCAAGCCUGUGGGGCCCACGCUGUGCUUGGCCCAGGCCAAGGUUCUGGCUGCUCGCCAUUUCCCUGGAGCUUCCUCCCUCCAGUCACUCAGUCUCUGAGCAGCAAGUGAUGUUUCUUGGCUACUUUCAUGAUCUUAGGAACUUACUCAUUGCCUUCCCCUCCCCCAUGACCGUGUGACCCCUGAAGGCCUUGUCUGCUCUGUGGCCAAGAGGAACCACUUGAGACCGUCCAGCUCAUAGGCAUGGCCAAGCCAUCCUGAUGGGGUGGUGAGGCUGUGGGAUGGGGCGGUUUGGGCAGAAUUGAGAGCAUUCCCCAAAGAGACACUCACAGGGCCAGGAAGAAGUGGAUCCUGUUAUACAGGUGUCCAGGCAGCCCGACACGGCCGAAGUACUCCACCACCAUGGAAAGCAGGUACUGUGUGGGCACGGAAGGCAGGUGAGGGGUCAGUAGAGGGAGUGAGAGUGUCCCGCACGGGCCACGGGUCCUGCCCCAUCCAGCGGCCAUGGUGGGAACCCCUCAGGUUGGCUGUGCUGAGGCCCUUUGACAAGUGGAGAGGAAUGGAUAGGAGGCCAGGAGAAGAUGCCCAUGGGCAGGGCAGGCCAUGGGCGGUGUGUCUUCUGACACUGAGAGCAGGUCUCUCCAGGGCUUCUCCCGCCUGGCCAGAAAUCUGGUUCUCUGUUCCUGCCCCAUGGGGUGGUGACUCUGUGGACCCCUCAGGCCCUCAUCAUUUUGGUGCUGCAGAUACCUUAUCAGAUACUUUGAGGAAAAUGUCAGCUUCCAAGAAGCUCUGGAUCACGGGAUCCUCUGCAAAGGAAGGGAGAAGUGAGGAGGGCCUUGGAGCAGGCCUUCUGGGGGCUGUGGGACACUCCAGGGGGAAGGAGGAAAACCAGAGCCUCCCUCAAGUUCCAUUGUUUCCUGGAAGUGGAGGCAGUGUCCCUUCUGCCAGGAGGUUUGUGAGUCUUAAUAUUUGUGACAAUGGCCACUCCUUCCAGGGAGGCCUAUGUCGUGAGUUUCAUCUGUAGGGCUUGGAUUUCGCUAUUGUAAACUUCCACGUGAUGGGCAGGGAUUUGUUGAUCACAGAGAUGCGACCUGGCUCUCAAUGCUUAACACAUUUGUCUCAAGCCAGAGCUUGGAUGUGGCCAUGGGUCUCUAUGACACCACAUUUGUCCUUGUCACUUUAUCAUGCUGGGGCCGGACAAAGCUUCCUGCCGCCUCCCGUUAACUGAGCGCCCUGAGCCUGUGGUGGUCAGUUCGCAGCCCCUGGGGGUGCUGGGAGUACUGCCCUCUUUCUCCUGGAUCCCCUCGCUUCCUGCAGAUAAUGACCUGUGCCCCCCACCCCCAAUCCCAACUCUGGGAUUAGAGUUGUCCCCUGGAGGUACCAUUUUCCAGGGGAGACCUGAGAAUGUGGGUGCUGUCUUUCCCUCCUUGACUGGGACAAUGACACUUGCACAACAGGGAGGAUGGAGGAGUCAAGGGUUAUUUCGUUCUCCUUGACCCUUCUCCAGUCAGUCUGGCUCUCUGCAAUAGAACUCUGUGAUGAUGAAAGUGUUCUAGAUGUGCACUGUUCACUAUGGGAGCCAUUAGCCAUGUGUGGCUACUGUGCACUUGAAAUGUGGCUCAUGAGACUGAGAAACUGAAUUUUUAAAUUUAAUUUUAAAUGAGUUAAAUCAGGUUUUAAUAGCUACAUGUGGCUAAUGAAUGCUGUAUUGGACAACGUGAUCACAGUGUUGUCUCCAGAACUAUCACACUUAAUCCUGCCUCUGGUCCUGAUGGCCCCUUCUCAGACAGAGUCCCUGGAGUAUCCCAUCUCAUAGAGCUCCCCUCUCCUGCUUCGUGUUCCAUCUCCAGGCAUCAUUGCCUUUGAAUAACAUUACUUCUCUGCAUUUGUCACUGGCUGAGAACAGCUUAUUUCUAUAUGGGUUUGUUUUUUGUCUCCUCCCACCUUGAACGUACAGACAGCAAGAUCUAGGUUGUCUUUUCAUCACUAAUCUCUAAAAUCUUAAUUGGAGGGAAUACAUGAAUGUAUCCCAGUGGGCAGAGGAUGCACCCCUUGGUUGGUUCUGAAAUGUCUUGACUGUUGAGCACUCUCCACUGUAGCCUCCUCCCUCUCCCUCUAAGAACUUGUCUCAGGAAAAACUUGCCAGCACCCCCAGCAGAAGCAGGGUCGCUCUGUGUCCGUGCCCCCUGGACCCUUUAUAGCUUAGAGCCCGGGGGUGGUUUGAGCAUGAUCCCAGAGCCACUGCCUCCAACAUGAUCCCUACUCAGCAGGACCCUGAACGCUCCAUCUGCUCAGAGCACACACCCAGAAGUCGGUAGAAUGCUUCUUGGUCUUCAGGACGGUAACUGGGUCUUCUCCUCUUGUUCAUCCUGAGUUUUGUUCCCUCAACAUGAUUGACUGUCCAUAUGUUCCUCUUCUGUCCCCUCUUCUUCCAGGACCUCAGCUCAGAGAUAGCUUCUGAGGUGGUAGAGUUGGAGGCUGGGACGCUGCUCUCCUGGGCACCUGCAGAAACAAAAGAUUCUGAGUCAGCGUGGAUGUGACCCACCUGAGAAGUGGAGUCCUUGCCAUGCAGCUCACUCUGAACACUGGGCCUGGACUCAGCCUUGUGAAGACAAGAUGCUCAGCCUCUUUACCAGCUUCCGGGAGCACAGCAUCCACAGAAGCCCCAGCACUGAAGCCAGCACCUGAAAUCCUUACAGCUCCUUACAGGUGGGUGUGGCGCGUCAGGCAGAGCACUUAACUGUCUCCUCUGUCGCUGAGCCUUGCACGCUGCAGCGACCCUGGGGCCUCUCCAUUCUACUCCCCGCCUUGCACACCCUAUGUCCUCUCUCUGCCAGGCUCUCCAGAGCCGCCCUUGCCAGCCCCGGCCCUCCUCUGCCCUCCCCCUGGAACACUGCCAUUAGCUGACCCCAGGCUCUCCCCUCCCUCUGCUCUGCCCUCCCCUGCCCCCACCACCCUGGGUCUGCUCUUAGGAGAGUAGGGCUCAGCUGAUUCCUGUGGUUCCUCCCUCCUCCCCCAUGAUUCCUCAGCUUGAGCAGAAACCGUCCACCUCUUACCUGUAGUCAUGAAUGACUAUAUCUGUAGCUUAUUACUUUGUGUGGUUUGAAAAGUCUUUUGUUUGUUUUUUAAAUCAAGAUAGCUUGCAUAUAUAUAGCUUUUUUUUUUACCCUUCAAAGCCCUCAUUCAUGAUCUCAUGUCAUGGUCUCCGAUCCCCGAGUGUGGAAGGGCAGUGAUCACAGAGGUCUUGGAGGCCCCGCGGCCCACAGAGCAGAAGAGGCUGAGGCGGUUGUCACAUUGUCCUGGCAGGGGGAGGAGUCCCACGUGGCCUUCCUUCAGGCCCCCCUGUACCUUGGUGACCUGGCCAACUGUGUAGACCAAAGCAUCCACGCCAGCUGGAACACUGCCCGUUCUCAUGGACACACCACUGUGUAUCUGGGCCGGCUCCCAGUCUGGCCACACAAAGCCAUGUUCUUCUGCUUCCAGAGGCUCAGGAGUGCGGGGUGCAGAAGGUCCUUCCCUGGGAGGCUUGGCUUCUGCAUCAGGAGCCGAGCUUCCUUGCACUGGUGUUUGUCAGGGUGUUUCGGGGUGUGCAGGAGUCUGAAGCCAAAUUUUUCAGCCUCUAUUGGAGAAGCAAGUUUUAUUAUGUAAACAUUUGAAGAGGGAGUGGAGGAAGCCAGCAGGGAGAGUCCUGGGGUGGAUGAUUAUGCAGAGUUGCAAGCAGCCCUGUCAGGGACAGGUCUUCAGUGCUGCGUAGGUUCUGACCUGGGGAGAUACCCCUGCCCCUCCUUCUGGCUGUCUCUGUGGGACACUGGUUCGUCUGUCUGGCCUCCUCUCUUUUGCAACCAGCGCAGCUCCAGAACCCUCCAGCAGCACUCCGGGUGGACAUGCCCACUGAUCAGAGUUGUUGUGGGUCAGGGAAGCUGUGGCCAUUAUCAUUUUUCACACUGGGGCCCAUGAGCAUCUUCAGCUCCUUCAUAUACCUUAUGGCUUAUACCUGAUACCUUUAGUUAAAAAAAAAAACAAACAAAUUAAAAAACUCCCAGUGUAAACAGAGUAAUUAUGGAACCUUGUCCUGCAACCUAAUCCAGCUUUAAAAAAAUCCUAAAAAACACAAAAAGCAACUGUAUGCUCUAAGUCAGCUGUAUGGAGACGUUUUGUUGUGCGUUUCAAGCGUUACUGCAAUCCUUCCCUGCCUGGCCUUAGCUCUGGCCCCACUUCCUCUUGGAAACAGGGGCAAGGGGCUGACACUGCACGCCAGGCCCGGCUCCACAAGGACGAAGCCAGGGCAGGACCGUAUUUAACUGAAUUCCACAGACAAAAUUUUCCUAUUAUUCCAUACUUGCACUGUUAACUAUGAAAAAAAUUUUUCUUGUUAUUUUUGGUGGAAAUUGCUCUUCAAUAGUCUAUUUAUUUAUUUAUAAAAAUUUUGUAAAGAUUUUAUUUGAGAGAGAGGGAGAAUGCGAGACAGAGAGCAUGAGCGGGGGGAGGGGCAGAGGGAGAGGGAGAAGCAGGCUCCCCGCUAGCAGAACCCUGGGAUCAUGACCUGAGCUGAAGGCAGAUGCUUAACCAACUGAGCCACCCAGGCGCCCUUCAAUAGCCUUUUUAAAUGACAAAGCCAACAGAUAGAAAACAUAAAGGGACAAAGGAGAAAAUAAAAAAUGAACCAUCAUUUUACCAUCCAGAGAUAGCCACUUUUGACAUUUGGUAAUAUUUCUUUCCAGUUAUGUGUAUACACAUUGCAGUCUUGGAAUUGUUGUGUAUAUAAUUUUGUAUAGCUAUAACUUUUCACUUAACAUUACAGCACAACUGUGUUUCUCUGUCAUUAAAUGCUCUUGAAGUCACCAUCACUAAUCACUGCUGUUUCUUCCAUUGUAUGGAUAUACCAUAAUUUAUUUAACCAUUCCCACAUUAUGAGACAAAUACACUGGUGCCAACUUUUUUGGAACUGUAUAUGAUGACGCUUCAAUGAGCAUCUUUGCAAAUAAAUCCAAGUUUCUGACCUGUUCGAGCAGUGGAUUGCCAGAAGGUGGGUGAGGGGUGGAACUCCGAUUGCCACAUUGCUUUCCAGAAUGGUGAUUUCAAACACGGAUGGGUGAGGCUUGCGGCGCACAUCAGCAGCAUCAGCUGGAGACUGUGGAGGUGUCAGAAUUGUCCAUCUUGAUUUUCACUUUCUUCCUGUCACUCCUGAGGUGAUGUGAGAGGUCAAGGUUUGACUCGUUACUUUAAGAGGCCCAGGCCAAAAGAGAGUAAGCAAAUGAACGCUUAUUGAGAAUUUACCUUGUGUGGCAACCUCUGGAAACAACGAUAAUAAUAACAUGAUGCCUGGGAAGGAGCUCUAUUCUGGAACAUUCCACACACUUUCUUGGCUUCAUGAAGUCUUUACUAACAUCUUUAUUAUUUUCGCUUUUAGGGUAUCCAGGUUUUAAAGACCUUGUAUAUGAGGUGAAGUCAUAUAAAUCAUCUAAGUUGUGGUAAGCAGUAAUGUCCAGUGGGCGUAUGGACGCCUGGACACUGGCCAUUCUUUUUUUUUUUUUUUGAAGAUUUUAUUUAUUUAUUUGAGAGAGAGAGAAUGAGAGACAGAGAGCACGAGAGGGAAGAGGGCAGAGGGAGAAGCAGACCCCCUGCCGAGCAGGGAGCCCGAUGUGGGACGCGAUCCCGGGACUCCAGGAUCAUGACCUGAGCCGAAGGCAGUCGCUUAACCAACUGAGCCACCCAGGCGCCCUGGACACUGGCCAUUCUUAUUUCUGGUUUUCUCUGUUCCUGAUCAACAGUCAGUCCAUCCUGGGCACACUUAGGCCCAGGCUGGAUGCUCCCUCCGAGCAAUGUCAAAAUUGUCACUUUAUACAUCACUCUAAGGACGUAGAUUCUGAAGAAGGCAGUGCUGAGGGGGUCUAGAGAAGGGGAGUUGGCUUUCUGAGAUAAUUUUUCUCUUUCCUUCAGGUUCAAUUUUUUUUUUUCUUUCCCCUGCUAACUGCUAAGUUCAGAGUCUCAGGGGGUGAAGUAGAUUCUUAGCACUGGAGAAGUGGAACACUAUGAUUCUCAAAUUCAGGUUUAUUUCUUCUAAAUACCCAGAAAAAUGAUGUGUGGAAAUGUCUUCGCUGAAACCAUGCCACUUGCAGCCAGACGCACACUCAGCCUGCAUUCGAGGUGCUGAAGUAACAUGACAGAUGGUGGGUGGGGAGAAGGCCCAAAGAAUGCCCUCCAGGAGGCAAGCUCCUGGUCCCAAGGUUAGACCGCCCGCCACCGCCUUCUUCCUCAGAUACCCAGGUGCCGAGGCUCACCCUGGGGCGGAGGGUCUAGCAUUAGACCCUCCAAGCUCCUUUCUCUCCGGGGUGCUGGCUUCUGCCAGAUGCCAGCAGGAAAGGGAGAAAUGGCCUGACAUGCUGCACGCCAAUGUGAGAUGCCCCAAAACAACGCGGUAGCAUCUGAUGUUCCCAGGAUUGAUUGGGGGUUCCAACCACGGCUUGUGUGGCCCUGUAAACAUUAUUCAAUCUCUCUCAGCCUCCGCUUCCUCAUCUAUAAAAUGGGCUCAUGGAACUGCCCCCGCCCCCCCUUAAGUUGGUUGUGACCCUGUAUUGAAAGAUCCUAGAUUGGAAAUGUAGUGUAAAAGCUUAGAAGGUGCUGGGUCAAUAUUGCUGUUCUUGUGUCUCAUCCCACAGAACAAUCAGCAGAGGCUCCUGGGGUGCUUCUAAUGGCGGGCUUUUGGUAUGUGGAGAGACCUCGGAGGGAGAUAUUUCCCCCAAGCACAGACAUAUUCUUGUGACCUUAGGCGGUGCUCACACCACAGGCACGAUUCAGGGCAGUUCCUCCCCGUGGGGUUUGGAGUCCCUACUCCUCCUCACCCUGGCGCCCCAGGGAGUGCCUUUGGAUUCCUGUCCUCUGUGUCUUGCCUGAGUCCCCACAGGCUGCCUUGGCUGAGAGGCCCUGAACCCUGUGCUCAUCAGUCAGCUAUCAGGCAGAGGUGCUCUCUAUGUGCCUAAGCCAGGUGGGGAAUUGCAGGGAGCCCAGCCGGGUGCAGGGUACAGAAUGGCAGGUGCAUGGAGUGUCUAGAGGCCCAUGGGCAGUGCCAGGCCAUGGGCAGACAGAGGUGGGGCUGUCCCCUCCCCUGCUGUGACCUCAGUGCUAUCUCAGACCAAAAGCAGGAGACUCCGAUGGGGACAGAGGGCCCCAGUCGCCCCCAGGGCAGUACUCGGGAACAGGCAACUUCAUAGCCCAUUGCUACCCAGAGUCCAGCCCCAGGAAGGCAGCCUUCGGCUUGUGGCCUGGGCUUAGUCCCCGCCAGGUGUGACCACACCACCUGAGCUACGUGACACAGCGUGGUGACUUUCAUGCUGGCUGCCUCUUGCAGGAUGGCCGUGGGGCCUAGCUGGCCCCGGCACAAUCUCGGACAGCUGGGCUUCUGGCAGUUAGCCCCCCUGACAAGGAAACGGGCCUUGACCUGUGCUUGCUGUGUGGCUAAUAGGAGUUUACCGAGCCCAGGACUGAUUUGGAGCUUACUAACCCUGGUUUCCAGAACUGGGCUUAUGUUGUACCUAUCCUGGAGGCUGUAUUUUUUUAUUUAAAAAAAAAAAAAAAAAAAGAAUAUCUUACUCAGGGUAUAACUCUUCACAGCUAAUCCCAGUGCAGAGAAGAAUGAAUGCUCUUGGUGUUUUCUCGAGGUCUCUUAAAGGAAAUCUCUCACCGUUCUCUUGGGUGUGGCAUUUGGCUGCUGGGAACACAGUUUAUCUUACAGAGGAAACUGUUUCGCAAGAGGUUUCCCACAAUUAUGGUCUGAGGGAGGGUCCCUGCCAGCUUUUCUUAGUCAUUUGGGCUUAGAGGGAAGGUGGGUUUUGUUGUUGUUGUUUGCCUUUUUUUUUUUUUUUUAAAUCUGAAGGCAGGAGCCAUCUGGGAGUAGGCACACAUGGGUAAUUACCCUGAGUUAGGGAGACAAAAGGAUUGCUGAUCAGCAGCUCUCAGGGCUGCUGCAGGUGGCUGAUGGCUUUUGGUGGAAUGUCACCAAGUACUCAGGCUACGGGGUGAGUCAGAAAUCCUUAGGUCACUUGUGGUUUUCUUUCAUGGUUUUGCUGUGACUAUUAACUUGUUUUUACUUAACAAGAAAAACAGGUGUUUGGGUGUCUGAAAGAGUGCUGCCCUCUCCUAGCAGCUUACUGUAGUCACAUGGCUGCCCCAGUUUGGUCCACACUAAAUAGAUAACCAAAAAUGAGGGAGAACCAGCAAACUCUUUAGACAGGGCCUCCCGGGACACUCAGAUCCUUGUGAUGCUCAUGAAGAGAGUAAGUGAGCUUAGAGUCAUCCAUCCUUUGAUAGUUUGAAUUGCUGGAUCGGUGAGACAGCCCCCCCGGGCCCCCUCCGGGGCUCAACCUCCCUUUGGAAGUGAGUGUGUGUGCUCUGCCCCUGGCUUUGAGUUUUCUAUAUCCCGCCUGGAUGAGCUGACAGCUCUCACCUUGAGUUCUGGUGCUUUUUGGAUGGAAAUGAAAGCACCACAUUUGUCCAAACCCAGCGCUGGGCUUUCUUUUCACCUGACCAGGCAGCCGGACUCUGCAGCUUUUGCAUUCCCGCUAACAUCAACGCACACACUCCGGAUUCCCAAUCCCAGGAGAGAAUGGCUGCCUCCCCUGCUGCAGGCGCUCACCGCUUCCCUCCGGUCCUCAGGCCUGAAAGGAUGAGUUUCAGGCUUCACUGCAAAGACCUUCACAAUGGGACUAUUUGGUUCCAAUCAAACCUGCUCUAUUCACAGGAGUGAAAGUGAUGGGAGGUGCCAGAUUGGGCCCUCAGCCUUGGGACUGGAAGUUGCUAGAAUCUGCCAGACACAGACCAGGAAACUUUUUUUUUUUUCUUACCAGGAGUUAAAGGUGGCCCCAAAUGUCCUCCCAUGACCCCCAUUCCCACUGGACCUGCAUUAUACCUGUCUGUGACCUUUAGACACGGAGCUCUUCAGGGUUGGGCUUUUCAUUCGCAGCUUGAGCAAGGCGGCUGGUGGCCAAAUAGUGACCGCCCAGGGCACACCUUCCUGGUCCUCUGCCACCAAGCCAGACCCCAAGGCUGCCGGCCCCCUGGAAAUCGUGGGGUGCCUGGACUUGCCCUUCUAUGGCAGGGGAGCUGCAGAGAUUUGCUGCCUCGCCACAUCACCGACGCGGGCAGGAUGGAUCAGCGUGGCGGGCUGAGUCAGACAUUGGGGUCAUGAGAAAUGAACGUGGGCGCCUGGGUGGCUCAGUUGGUUGAGCGACUGCCUUCAGCUCAGGUCAUGAUUCUGGAGUCCCUGGAUCGAGUCCCGCAUCGGGCUCCCUGCUCGGCAGGGAGUCUGCUUCUCCCUCUGACCCUCCCCCCUCUCAUGUGCUCUCUCUCUCUCUCUCAUUCUCUCUGUCUCAAAUAAAUAAAUAAAAUCUUUAAAAAAAAAAAAAAAGAAAUGAACGUCGCAGGAGUCGCUUGCGAGGGAGGGAGCUGGCAGGGACAGCGCAGCAGGAGGUGCCUGCAGUGCAGCCAGGGAAACAGGGAAACCGCAGUACAAGUCACCUCUGCCCCCUCCCCGGCCGUGUCACCAGGCUUCCACCGUGUGUGGUGCAGAGCAGUCAGUUCAUUGGUCGGACGGAUUGUUCUCUUUGCGAGGUGAGAGAUGGUGUGGGGUGGGACACCUGUCAAUACGUCAUGGGUCAUUUUCAGGGCCAUCUUUUAUCUUCCUCUUCCUGUUUGUAGUUCUUGGAGGGACACGUCAGCAGAACGGCAAGUAGACACCUGGGCUGCCAUGAAUGAGUGAGUGCAUGGGACGGGGGCUCCGGGGCCCAUGGCCAUCCUCACCGAGGGGUGGGCUGCCUGUGGGAAGCGGAGCUGAGCCCAGCCGACCCGAACCCUCAUCAGUGAGGGGGCAGCGAGCCGUUGCAAAUGAGGGGGCAAGUGGCUUGUGGACAGAGGGAUGUUCUCUCCGGCAUAUCCUUGCUGGGAAAGUGGAGCUUCAUCAGGACGAGGCCCAGCGGGCAGCUGCCCUUGUAGCAGUUGAGUUUCCUCUGGUCUCUACAAUUCUCAUGUUCGGGGAGUAACUGUGUCCGUGCUGCCCCCCUCCGCCCACACUGUGCAAAGGGCUCGGUCUGCUGGCACAGAAGCACCCCUGCCUCCCGAGGGUGUGGGUGUGGCUGGCUGGUCACCGUCUGCUGGCUGCCUGCCCUCAUCAAGGGCAGAGGCGGUCCCGCUCAGCCUUCUGGCCCCCCGGAGACACCUGUCAUGCCGGCAGGCACCAUGAAAACCCUGAGAGCUAGUGGCCCAGGGUCAGAGGUGGGCAAGAGUCUUAAAAUCCAUACAAGCCAUUCCGAAGGUUUCCCUUGAUUUGACCAGCAUUGAUUGAGCACCUACUGUCUAUGGGGAGCUGUGUCAGAAUCAAAAGGAGGUAGCUGUUGCUGGUAACAGGUGAGACGAGGUAUCCGAACAGGAGCUGCCGUCCUGCUCCCCGGAGCCUGGAGGAGUUCUUAGAGAAAUGGGGGUGGGGUGGUGGUCCUCAGAGACUGCCAGCAGAAGAGAAGUGUUAAUCCUCUUACUGUAAAAAUUGGAUCCCUUGUUUUUGUCUAUCUGGCUGUGGCUCUAGGAACAGAAUCAUGCCAAAUGCUUGCUGCUUACCUGCCUGGUCUGAUCUUCCCAUCUAAGGUCAGGUCUGGACACAAAGCUUGGACGAUUGGUGCCCAAAAGAGGGACCAGGAGGAGGGGAGACCCCCCGCCCCAAGCCUCCGACGCCUCCUCCUACUCUGUCUUAUUGGCAUCCAAAGAAACCAAGGCGUGUUUGGGGUGAGCUCUGCUCUGUGUGUUCCCUCAUCUCUCUCCUCCCUGUGCUGGGCAGCGCACGGCCUCUCCUCUCCCAGCCCGCCAAUGGCCACAAUCUCUCCCUGCUCUAGAGUCAACACUCCCCUGGAACAACUUCUCACUUUGUGCCAAGCAGUGUGUGGCCAGGGGAGAGACAGGCAGGCUGAGCCUGUUCCCGAAGAACACUUCCUUCAGGAGAGAGAAAGGACACAGUGAGCCCAGGGCAGACCCUCCCAGCACAGGCUGAGCACCCCAUCUCUGAGCAGCCGAGAGUUACAAACAUGUGGGAGGCGUUGUCAUUUGGGCCUCCCUUCCUGAGGUCGGCCUAGCUUACUCUUUGAGCUCACACUUCAGCACAGUGUCUUGGAGAAAACGGUGGACCGAUCCCCACACCCCUGCAGUGUCGGGAUAAACACUUUAUCUCCACUCAGCUUGCUGACCUGCCCCCAGGGAGAAGCCGUGUCUUGUCUGACUGGGGAGACUGGUGAGAGCCUGGGCCACAUUUACAAGGGAAUAUGGCCACCAUGUUGUUUCAUUAGUGUUCUCUCUUUUGCACCCCACAUACACAUCGCCAUGAGUCCCACCAAUUGGGAGGAAGGGCCAGGGCUCUUCUCUGUUUUCUUUCCAAAUGGGAAGCACAUCUGGGGUAGAACCAGUCUUUUUGACAGCCCAUUUCUGUCCUGCCAUCUGCUGGACCUAAUGCGCCUGGCAUAAUCUUCCAAACAGUACUUAGCAGACCCAGACUUCCUCUGGAAGUUCCAAGGCCUAGACUUGAAUGUGAUGCUAGGAGCCCCCAGCUUGCCUUCUGGGACCAACCAAGUUCUCCAAUCCAGCUUUUUCACAGAGCUGUGAACUUUGCAAGUUUCAGGCCAUAUCAUCCUUAUUUUCAUCAAGUUUUUUUUUUUUUUUUUUAUGCAUAGGCUGUAAGAUUUCAGGGAAAUUCAGGUUUUCUUGAACAUUGAUUAGUCACAAAUACUAUUAGGAGCGACAACAUUCAUUAACAAGUUUGCCUCCAUGUCCUUGUUGUAGUAACACCUUACAAUCCGCAUUGGCCUCAUGGACCAGUCUCUGUUCCCUGGUGUCUGGGGCCUCAGCUGGGGAGACACAAAGGCUGGUGGUGAUGGGGGCUGAGGCCUGGAAUCAUCUGAAGACCUGUUUGUAAUUGCGGUGGUUGAUGCCAGUUAUCGACGGGGACUUUAUCUCUGGCACGAUCAUCUGGAACACCUAGGUUUUUUUUUUGGCUGAGAUUAACAUUUAAAUGAGCAGACUUUGAGUAAAGUGGAUUAUCUUCCAUAGAGUCCAUGGGCCUCAUCCAAUCAGCUGAAGGUCUUAAGAGAAAAAAGACUGACUUCUCCCAAGGAAGAGGGACUUCUGUCAGCAGAUUGCCUUCGGGUUUGAGCUGCACCUUCUACUGUUCCCUGGGUUUCCAGCCUGCAGGCCUAUUCUGCAGAUUUUGGGCUCAUUGGCUUCCAUAAUUACAUGGGCCACUUCCUUAAACUCUUUGUCCAUAUAUCUGAAUCUGUAGACCCCUGGCUGAUUCAUCCAUACUAUGGUUGUACCAGUUUGUUUAGCCAUUCACCCACUGCAGGACAUCUUGAUUAUUUUGUUUUGGGUACUAUAUAUAAAAAAGCAAAAAUAAAAGUUUGUGUAUAAGUUUUCAUGUGAACAUACAUUCAUGUGAUUUGUUUUCUUACACUUGUUGAUGGUGGACCACAUUGAUUGAUUUUUAAGUAUUGAACGAACUUUGCAUCUCUGAAAUAAACUCCACUUGAUCAUGUGGUAUUCCUUUUAUAUACUGCUAAGUAUUAUUUAUUAAUAUUUUGUUAAGAAUUUUAGCAUCUAUAUCCGUGAGCUAUAUUGCUCUGGAGUUUUCUUUUUUUGUACUAUCUUUGUCUGAUUUGAUAUCAGGUAAUACUAGGUUCAUAAAAUAAAUUGGGAAGUGUUCCCUUCUUUUCUGUUUUCUGGAAGAAAUUGUGUAAAAUUUGUGUUAACAUUUUUUAAAACAUUUGUUGAAAUUCCCUUCAGUGAAGUCAUCUGGGCCUGGAGGUUUCUUUUUGUGGAGUUUUUAAAUUAAGAGUUAAAUUUAUUUAUUAGUUGUAGGGCUAUUCAUAGUAUCUGUUUCAUCUUGCCUGAGUUGUGGUAGUUGGUAAUUUUCAAGGAACUGGUUUAUUUCACCUAAGUUGUCAAAUUUAUGCACCUAAUGUUUUUCAUAGUAUUUCCUUAUUAUUCAAGUAAUGUCUGCUGUAUCUGUAGUUUUGUCUCAUUUCAUGGGUGAUAUUGGUAACUUGUGUCUUCCAUCUCUCUUUUUUUUCUUUGUGAGUCUUGCUAGAGGUUUGUGAAUUUUAUUGUUUUUUUUUUUCAAAGAACCAGUUUUUUGUUCCAUUCUUUGUCUCCAUUGAGUUUUUGUUUUUAAUUUUAGUGAUUUCUGAUUUUUCUGAUUUCUGGUGCUCCCCCUGCCCCGAGCAGGAGAGGUUUGAACUGAACUAUGGUGGGGAAAGUGGAGAAGUGAGUUGGGGUGUAGAAGCUAUCCUCCCAACCUUAUACUUGGAGGGUUGCUGAUGAGAGGAGUGGAUACGUGGUAGGGAGAGGGGACACUCCAGCAGAUCUUGUAGACUCCAGGCUGCGCUGUGGAGUGAGCUGGAGGUUGGGAGGAGGGCAACCCCACCAGACACUUCCUGGCCUCUUUUGAAGGGGAUCCUGGAUCUCACAGGGCUCUGGACACUGGAGACACUAUCCCAUUUAAACCUCAGCCAGUCAGGAAGAAACGACAGAGGAAGAUGAGACUCUGUUCACAUUGAAGGCUCAGAAUGUGUCCCUCCCUCUCCCAGCUCCAAUCUGGAGCACUCCAGAGACUCUUCAUUCACAUUUAAGGAAUGCUCUCUGGGGAGGAAACUUCACAAAAAUGUUUGCAUUUGGGAACUCAAAUCUCCUACUGGGGUCCAACAUUUAGUUCUCUCUUGUUUUUGGAGGUGAGGU
Mirounga angustirostris (Northern elephant seal) is the source of this 18351-nucleotide long non-coding RNA. RefSeq lists it as uncharacterized. The record is from RefSeq and is a predicted model, not a curated record. Lineage: Eukaryota; Metazoa; Chordata; Mammalia; Carnivora; Phocidae. The transcript is spliced from 3 exons.